This 468-nucleotide ribosomal RNA is filed under the name uncultured bacterium. Its description in RNAcentral is "partial 16S ribosomal RNA". It matches the Rfam family "Bacterial small subunit ribosomal RNA", at positions 28 to 506 of the family's 1533-position model. The record is from RNAcentral.
GACGAACGCUGGCGGCGUGCUUAACACAUGCAAGUCGAACGAUGAUCUCCCGCUUGCGGGGGUGAUUAGUGUCGAACGGGUGAGUAAUACGUGAGUAACCUGCCCUUGACUCUGGGAUAAGCCUGGUAAACCGGGUCUAAUACUCGAUACUACUUCCUGCCGCAUGUUGGGUGUUGGAAAGGGUUUUACUGGUUUUGGAUGGACUCACGGCCUCUCAGCUUGUUGGUGUAGUAAUGGCUCACCAAGGCGACGACGGGUAGCCGGCCUGAGAGGGUGACAGGCCACACAGGGACUGAGAAAGGGCCCAGACUGAUACGGGAGGAAGCAGUGGGGAAUAUUGCAAAAUGGGCGGAAGCCGGAUGCAGCGACGCCGCGUGAGGGAUGACGGCCUUAGGGUUGUAAACCGCUUUCAGCAGGGAAGAAGACACAAGUGACGGUACCUGCAGAAGAAGCGCCGGCUAACUACGU